This is a long non-coding RNA of Olea europaea var. sylvestris, 2236 nucleotides long. RefSeq lists it as uncharacterized. Lineage: Eukaryota; Viridiplantae; Streptophyta; Magnoliopsida; Lamiales; Oleaceae. The transcript is spliced from 2 exons. The record is from RefSeq and is a predicted model, not a curated record.
GCCCUUGUCGCACUUACCCUCGACAGAGGCCAUUUAUGACCUUAGAGGUGUGCCCCUCGAACCAUUUGAGGUGCGCGCCCUCUUUUUUACUGGGUUGGGGUUUUUAACCCUUCAACCCCAGGACUCUUUAGCCUAAAUUCCCCAUUCCCAACUUAUUCUCUCAAGACCAAUUCCUCAUCUCCUCUUCUAGAACACACACUCUUUACUCACUCUCAAAUUACUUGGGCAUUGUACAAAAGAGUGCAUUACAACAACAACCCCCAACCUCGGAACUCUUUGGCCCAAAUUCCCCAUUCCCAAGUUAUUCUCUCAAGACCAAUUCCUCAUCUCCUCUUCUAGAACACACACUCUUUACUCACUUUCAAAUUUACUUGGGCAUUGUACAAAAGAGUGCAUUACAACAACAACAACACACAAGUUAUAACCACUUUUCUCCACAAAAAUUCAAGAAGAGUAAGCUUGCGGCCGUAGGUUGCAGCCACAGUCCCUGCAUUGCGUCCCCUACUUCUCAGCAUCAAGUCUUGUACAUCCGGCUCCCAUUUUCCUAUCCAUUAUGUCAUCUUUGGACUCAUUAGAGCUAUUAUGUCAUAUACUUGGACAAAUACUUGAUUUUCUCAUGUUUCACAAGAGUGGCACCAAAAAGGAAAGAUGCCCCUACGUCCUCCAAAGAAAAGGGCAAAGUCUCUACAUCCAAUACCACAGCAUGCACUCAUGUCGAUGACAGAGGCAUGAGGAGAUUCCAGAGUUUGGAUGAUAAGACGAUAUUUGAUAGCAUCUUGGCCAAGAGGAAGAUGUGGCUAGAAAGACAACUAAUAUUGGAGGAUUUUAAGGAUUAUGAAAUUGAGAUUUUUAUACAUAGAGCAUGAUGGGCACAUGUGAUUGCAAAACCAUGGGAGAUUUACCCUACUUUGGUACAUGAGUUCUAUGCAAAUUUCAAUUCGCUAGAUUGACAAUCCUGGGACAGAGUGUGAACAUUACACUUGGGUAUGAGACAAGUGGGUUUUGUUUUUCAUAAGGUUAUUGGAGCAUAAUAUGGAUACAGUUAUCUACUUGCUUAAUAGGAGAGUAGAUGCAGGGGAUGUGGAUAAUGAAUUUGAGCACAAUAUGCUAACUCAAUCUUUUACUAUAUUGAUGAAGUUCAUUUGUCACAAUAUCGAGCAUACCGCCCAUUUGAUUACAUCAACCUUUGCAAAAGCGGGGUUGCUAUUUCACUUGGCCGGGGACUUGAAGAUCGACUUAGGCACGUUCAUAUAUAAUCAGAUUUGUGGGUUUGCUAUCAAGCUAGAGCAUUACUAGACAUUAAUUUUUUCCGACCUCAGCAAGGGGAUUUUCAGAUCUUUUGGGGUCAGCUUCUUUCUGCGAAGCAGUUGACUUGGGCCAGUGUUGCUAUUAAUUGUAAGAUAGCAGAUCAUUUUUGGAGAGCUAUCAUACGAAGCAGACAGUAUCAGCAGUAGGAGGAGGUAGCUGAAGGAUAUGGGGAUGCCACCCAAUUUUCUCAGCAACCACAUCCAAACCCUACUGUCAAUCAUCCAUUCAUGCGAUGGUUAUUUGCUAGUUCGACUAAGACCAUCCAAAGAAUUCAGGACAUUCUGCAGUCACUUGGAGCUUGCACUUAAGAGUUCAAAGUAUAGAGAAGACUGCUCAAGGCAUACAAGGUGAUGUGAAUGUGAUACGUUUUGAUGCGUCCAGUACGAAUGGAAGGAACGACAUGCUUAGGAAGAGUAUAAAUAGAUACUCAGGACGGAUUGACGAGCUGAACAUCGAGUUGAUCAGACUAAUGAUCUAGUUUUGAGACAUCCAAGGCCAGGUUGAUGAGACAUAUGACAUGGUAUGCUGCAUGCAGGUUGGUUGGAUCAGACAUACAAUUUGAAGCAAAAGAUUCUCUCGCGUAAGCCUCCAUCAUCAUCUUUAGAUCCACGAGGCUCGGGAGCAUUCCAUCCAUUUUCACCACCACCUUCAGACUAACCAGUGGAGUUCUCAGGUAUCCUCUUUGCCUUUCUUUUUUGCAUUACAAAUAUCAUAUUAUUGUACAUUGAGGGGAAUGCACAAGUUAAGUUUUGUGAUAGAUGGUUUUAUCAUUGAUUUUGUAUAGUUUACUGCUUUUGUUAUGUUUGUCGAUUGUUUAAAAAAAACCAACCUGCAAUGAAUAGGGAAGGUAUGGUAAUGCUAUGAAUGACCUAGUAUCGAAUACUGGUAAUAAUAUCAGCAAAAGAACGUUCUCGUGUGCUUCCAGACA